GUGCCAGCCGCCGCGGUAAUACGUAGGGGGCAAGCGUUGUCCGGAAUCAUUGGGCGUAAAGAGCGUGUAGGCGGUCCGGUCAGUCGGUUGUGAAAGUCAAGGGCUCAACCCUUGAAUGCCGGCCGAUACUGCCGGGCUAGAGUCCGGAAGAGGUGAGUGGAAUUCCUGGUGUAGCGGUGAAAUGCGCAGAUAUCAGGAGGAACACCGAUGGCGAAGGCAGCUCACUGGGACGGUACUGACGCUGAGACGCGAAAGCGUGGGGAGCAAACAGGAUUAGAAACCCGAGUAGUCC
RNAcentral lists this ribosomal RNA (292 nucleotides) under uncultured bacterium. Its description in RNAcentral is "partial 16S ribosomal RNA". It matches the Rfam family "Bacterial small subunit ribosomal RNA", at positions 505 to 796 of the family's 1533-position model. The record is from RNAcentral.